GAUGAACGCUGGCGGCGUGCCUAACACAUGCAAGUCGGACGGUGGCGAAGCAAUUCGCCACAGUGGCGCACGGGUGAGGAACACGUAGCUGACCUGCCCUGGAGCGCGGGAUAACCCUGGGAAACGAGGGCUAAGACCGCCUACGCUCGGCGACUGUAGAGGUCGUCGAGGAAAACCUUUGGGUGCUCUGGGAGGGGGCUGCGGCCCAUCAGGUAGUUGGUGGGGUAAGAGCCUACCAAGCCGACGACGGGGUCGGGGGGUCUGAGAGGAUGAUCCCCCACACUGGGACUGAGACACGGCCCAGACUCCUACGGGAGGCAGCAGUGAGGAAUCUUGGACAAUGGGGGGCAACCCUGAUCCAGCGACGCCGCGUGGGUGAAGAAGGCCUGCGGGUUGUAAAGCCCUUUCGGGUGGGGGAAGAAAAGUCUCGACCUAAUACGUCGGGACCUUGACGUAACCCACUAAAGAAGCACCGGCUAACUCUGUG
This 487-nucleotide ribosomal RNA is filed under the name uncultured bacterium. Its description in RNAcentral is "bacterial SSU rRNA". It matches the Rfam family "Bacterial small subunit ribosomal RNA", at positions 28 to 507 of the family's 1533-position model. The record is from RNAcentral.